UGCCACCUUAGGUCAAG
Molecule: ribosomal RNA, 17 nt
Filed under: Cryptandra leucophracta
Lineage: Eukaryota; Viridiplantae; Streptophyta; Magnoliopsida; Rosales; Rhamnaceae
Description: Stenanthemum leucophractum partial 26S ribosomal RNA
Source: RNAcentral